RNAcentral lists this ribosomal RNA (206 nucleotides) under uncultured bacterium. RNAcentral's name for it is "partial 16S ribosomal RNA". It matches the Rfam family "Bacterial small subunit ribosomal RNA", at positions 568 to 774 of the family's 1533-position model. The record is from RNAcentral.
UGAGCAGGCGGCAGAUUAAGUUUGAGGUUAAAGCGUGGGGCUCAACCCCAUAAAGCCUUGAAAACUGAUCAGCUAGAGUACGAGAGAUGUGAAGGGAACUCCAUGUGUAGCGGUGAAAUGCGUAGAUAUAUGGAAGAACACCAGUGGCGAAGGCGCUUCACAAGCUCGAAACUGACGCUCAGUCACGAAAGCGUGGGUAGCAAAUA